UACGGAGGAUCCGAGCGUUAUCCGGAUUUAUUGGGUUUAAAGGGAGCGUAGGCGGACGCUUAAGUCAGUUGUGAAAGUUUGCGGCUCAACCGUAAAAUUGCAGUUGAUACUGGGUGUCUUGAGUACAGUAGAGGCAGGCGGAAUUCGUGGUGUAGCGGUGAAAUGCUUAGAUAUCACGAAGAACUCCGAUUGCGAAGGCAGCCUGCUGGACUGUAACUGACGCUGAUGCUCGAAAGUGUGGGUAUCAA
Molecule: ribosomal RNA, 248 nt
Filed under: uncultured Bacteroides sp.
Lineage: Bacteria; Pseudomonadati; Bacteroidota; Bacteroidia; Bacteroidales; Bacteroidaceae
Description: partial 16S ribosomal RNA
Rfam family: Bacterial small subunit ribosomal RNA
Source: RNAcentral